CACAUCCUCCCAUUUACUCUUUAGGGUACAAAUUGAUCUGACUUGAUUUGUCAGAGAGCCAGAACUGCAGGCAAAUAGACGCCAGAGAAAUCAACCAAUCUUUUAAGCCAGCAGUAAUUGUUCCUCCUGUCGGCUGGCUAAAUGACUUGUAUCUGGAGGAGACGCUCAGAAUGAAUCAGAAUGCUUGAGGUGACAGAAACACAGAGCAUUCCAAAGUGGGCUGUAACAGAGUGAGUGUUUCUUCAUGUCUUACAAGAGUUUGGUUUCAUGUUUUUUCCCCUUUCCCUCUUAUUCUGUCUCCUGGGGCUAGUGUUAUCUGGCAGAGACCAAGCUGAAGCAUGUAUAUAAUAGCAAGGAAUAGUAGUUUGUGUGGGGAUGAGGG
This 382-nucleotide long non-coding RNA is filed under the name Homo sapiens (human). RNAcentral's name for it is "non-protein coding lnc-TMEM178A-1:35". Lineage: Eukaryota; Metazoa; Chordata; Mammalia; Primates; Hominidae. The record is from RNAcentral.